CUUAAACGUGUAGGGACCCUCCUCUCUCCCCGCCAGAUAUCAGCAAUGCGGUUCCGGGAAUCUGCCCAUUCUGAGGAACAAAUGAGGUCCUCCCUUCGGGACGCGCCGGGGCAGCUGCCGGAGGCUCGGCUCGGCCGAUCGCUCGCGGGGCAGCGCUGCGUCGUCCGCACAGCCCGCGGAGGCUCCUGCCGCGGGGAGAGGCCUCCGGGUCCUCGGAGCCCCGCAGCAGUGGAGUGGAGCCCCGCCACCAAGGUGAAGAAACUGAGGCCCAGAGGUGCUAGCAGCAGUGGUGCUUUCCUAUCUUAUCAUCUUGAGUAGUUAUUCUUCUGAAGCUGACCCUUUAUAUAUCACAGCGGCUGACAAUUGUUGGUAACGUAUAUCGUGCAAGGCACUAUGCUAAGUACUUUAUACAGUUUGGCUCCUUUCAAUUCUCUACACAGUGAAGUGUAGGUAGGUACUAUUAUAACCCCUAUUUUAAAGAAGAGG
Molecule: long non-coding RNA, 486 nt
Filed under: Mustela putorius furo (domestic ferret)
Lineage: Eukaryota; Metazoa; Chordata; Mammalia; Carnivora; Mustelidae
Description: lncRNA (ENSMPUG00000027120.1)
Source: RNAcentral